UCAAACUUGGUCAUUUAGAGGAAGUAAAAGUCGUAACAAGGUUUCCGUAGGUGAACCUGCGGAAGGAUCAUUAGAAUAAAAGAAAGAUCGAUCCCGACGAAUGUGCGGGGGACGAUCGAAUCCACAUCCAUCCCCGUGUGCACUCAUCGACCGUUUGCUUUGGCAGGAAAAAAAAAAAAGAGGAGCCCUUCGAUCCCGAGGGGCGCCGGGAGGACACACACGCGUGUAGCCUCGGCCUGCCAGAGUUUUUUUUUUUGUCUCGCGCCCUUUUUUGUUUUGUUUACUUUGAUCGGACUGAACCUUCGUCUCGAUUGUGUUUGCAAUCGGUCGAAACGAAUACAACUUUCAACAACGGAUCUCUUGGCUCUCGCAUCGAUGAAGAACGCAGC
RNAcentral lists this unclassified non-coding RNA (389 nucleotides) under uncultured fungus. RNAcentral describes it as "partial contains small subunit ribosomal RNA, internal transcribed spacer 1, and 5.8S ribosomal RNA". The stretch from base 1 to 73 matches the Rfam family "Eukaryotic small subunit ribosomal RNA", at positions 1759 to 1831 of the family's 1831-position model. The record is from RNAcentral. Lineage: Eukaryota; Fungi.